Molecule: ribosomal RNA, 254 nt
Filed under: uncultured bacterium
Lineage: Bacteria
Description: partial 16S ribosomal RNA
Rfam family: Bacterial small subunit ribosomal RNA
Source: RNAcentral
UACAGAGGUCCCAAGCGUUGUUCGGAUUCACUGGGCGUAAAGGGUGCGUAGGUGGUGAGGUAAGUCGGAUGUGAAAGCUCGGAGCUCAACUCCGAAAAUGGCAUUGGAAACUACCUUGCUCGAGGGUUGGAGGGGGGACUGGAAUGCUUGGUGUAGCAGUGAAAUGCGUAGAUAUCAAGCGGAACACCAGUGGCGAAGGCGAGUCCCUGGACAACUCCUGACACUGAGGCACGAAAGCUAGGGGAGCAAACAGG